This 1022-nucleotide long non-coding RNA is filed under the name Homo sapiens (human). Its description in RNAcentral is "HSALNT0214101". Lineage: Eukaryota; Metazoa; Chordata; Mammalia; Primates; Hominidae. The record is from RNAcentral.
UGAAGAGGUACCUUCUGCCGUGGUUUCGGAAUUAAAUCAUUGAUCCCAGAAGAAAGGGACCACCACAGUGCUACGGAAAACAGGAAUUGUGAGAAGUUAUGGGAUCCAUUUUAGCUUGAUUUACUCACAGACUCCUUAAGCACACUUCAUAAGAUGAGGAAACUGAGACACUGGAAGAGGAAGUAACUUGCCCAAUGUCACUCAGCCAGGAAGAGGUGGAACCCAGCAUUGAAAUCCAGACAGUCUAACUCCAAAACAAAUAAACAAUACCACCACACUUUUAUCUUCUAGGCUAUACAUUUCUAAUGGCCAAUGAAGAAAACAAACUGAAAACAAAAUUCCUCCUUCCUGCUCUUGCUUAUUCCUAAUGGCUGUUCUUUUUAGCUCAUGUAGAAAAUAAAGUAGUAACAUGUUUCAGUACUUAUUGUAGCUCUAGUAAUUUCAGCUUGUAAAUUUGCUUUGGAAACCUUAGUGUUUAAAUAUUAAUCAAACAGAUGCAACUUUCCAAGCAACUGUUGUCAGAGAAAGAUCAACAUUCGUUAGAUUUUUACUUACUGACAAGUUAAAAAUAAGAUUAUGGUAGCUUUCCUACCUCCUGAAAAUCUGUUGCUCUUUAAGCCCCUCGUCAGAUUCAAAAGAAAUAUUUUGCACUCAACUUUAAAGCAGAGAUAUAUAAAAAUCAGCAAAUAAAUGAAAAAGUGAUUAAAUUCUUUAUUAAAGAUUUACCAAAAAAUAAUCCUUUAACUAUGUAAUCCUACAAUUGUUUUCAAAUACAAAUGAUUUUCCCCAUGUUUAGAUGUAUGUAUUUAAUGAAUACAACUCAGUAUAAUGAUCUUCCUAAAAAUGCCCCUUUUGUUUCCUUUUCUGAGACUUCUAAUGUAUUAAAAAAUAUAUAAUGCCAAAAAGCUUUUAUUAAAUUGUGAAAAAUUUAAAAUUUCCACACUUGUUAAAGAAAUACUUUUAAGCACACACAUGUGCAGUGAUUUGCUUGUAUUUUUCCCUUGAUGGUAACGGGAUUUAGA